This 442-nucleotide ribosomal RNA is filed under the name uncultured bacterium. Its description in RNAcentral is "partial 16S ribosomal RNA". It matches the Rfam family "Bacterial small subunit ribosomal RNA", at positions 338 to 795 of the family's 1533-position model. The record is from RNAcentral.
CCUACGGGUGGCAGCAGUGGGGAAUAUUGGGCAAUGGGCGCAAGCCUGACCCAGCAACGCCGCGUGAAGGAAGAAGGCUUUCGGGUUGUAAACUUCUUUUGUCAGGGAAGAGUAGAAGACGGUACCUGACGAAUAAGCCACGGCUAACUACGUGCCAGCAGCCGCGGUAAUACGUAGGUGGCAAGCGUUGUCCGGAUUUACUGGGUGUAAAGGGCGUGUAGCCGGGUUGACAAGUCAGAUGGGAAAUCCUGCGGCUUAACCGCAGAACUGCAGUUGAAACUGUUGAUCUUGAGUACUGGUGAGGCAGACGGAAUUCCUAGGGUAGCGGUGAUAUGCGUAGAUAUUAGGAGGAACACCAGUGGCGAAGGCGGUCUGCUGGACAGCAACUGACGGUGAGGCGCGAAAGCGUGGGGAGCAAACAGGAUUAGAUACCCUUGUAGUC